RNAcentral lists this ribosomal RNA (755 nucleotides) under uncultured bacterium. RNAcentral's name for it is "bacterial SSU rRNA". It matches the Rfam family "Bacterial small subunit ribosomal RNA", at positions 8 to 796 of the family's 1533-position model. The record is from RNAcentral.
AGAGUUUGAUCAUGGCUCAGGACGAACGCUGGCGGCGUGCUUAACACAUGCAAGUCGAGCGAGGCCCGUCCUUCGGGGUGGUGCCCUAGCGGCGAACGGGUGAGUAACACGUGGGCAACCUGCCCUGUGGUACGGAAUAACUCCGGGAAACUGGAGCUAAUACCGUAUGUGUCCUUUGGGACAAAGAUUCAUCGCCAUGGGAUGGGCCCGCGUAGGAUUAGCUUGUUGGCGGGGUAACGGCCCACCAAGGCUUCGAUCCUUAGCUGGUCUGAGAGGAUGAUCAGCCACACUGGGACUGAGACACGGCCCAGACUCCUACGGGAGGCAGCAGUGGGGAAUAUUGGACAAUGGGCGCAAGCCUGAUCCAGCAAUGCCGCGUGAGUGAUGAAGGCCUUCGGGUUGUAAAGCUCUUUCGCACGCGACGAUGAUGACGGUAGCGUGAGAAGAGGCCCCGGCUAACUUCGUGCCAGCAGCCGCGGUAAUACGAAGGGGGCUAGCGUUGUUCGGAAUUACUGGGCGUAAAGGGCGCGUAGGUGGUGUGUCAAGUCAGGCGUGAAAGCCCCGGGCUCAACCUGGGAACCGCGCUUGAGACUGGCACGCUCGAGUUCGGGAGAGGAUGGUGGAAUUCCCAGUGUAGAGGUGAAAUUCGUAGAUAUUGGGAAGAACACCGAUGGCGAAGGCAGCCAUCUGGACCGACACUGACGCUGAGGCGCGAAAGCGUGGGGAGCAAACAGGAUUAGAUACCCUAGUAGUCC